AUUGAACGCUGGCGGCAGGCCUAACACAUGCAAGUCGAACGGUAACAGGAAGAUGCUUGCUUCUUUGCUGACGAGUGGCGGACGGGUGAGUAAUGUCUGGGAAACUGCUUGAUGGAGGGGGAUAUCUACUGGAAACGGUAGCUAAUACCGCAUAACGUCGCCAGACAAAAGAGGGGGCGCUUCGUGCCUCUUGUCAUCGGAUAUGCCCUGAUGGGAUUAGCUAGUAGGUGCGGUAACGGGUCACCUAGGCGACGAUCCCUAGCUGGUCUGAAAGGAUGACAAGCCACACGGGAACUGAGGCACGGUCCAGACUCCUACGGGAGGCAGCAGUGGGGAAUAUUGCGCAAUGGGCGCAAGCCUGAUGCAGCCAUGCCGCGUGUAUGAAGACGACCUUCGGGUUGUAAAGUACUUUCAGCGGGGAGGAAGUGAGUAAAGUUAAUACCUUUGCUCAUUGACGUUACCCGCAGAAGAAGCACCGGCUAACUCCGUG
RNAcentral lists this ribosomal RNA (490 nucleotides) under uncultured bacterium. RNAcentral's name for it is "partial 16S ribosomal RNA". It matches the Rfam family "Bacterial small subunit ribosomal RNA", at positions 30 to 507 of the family's 1533-position model. The record is from RNAcentral.